Molecule: ribosomal RNA, 786 nt
Filed under: Enterococcus faecium
Lineage: Bacteria; Bacillati; Bacillota; Bacilli; Lactobacillales; Enterococcaceae
Description: bacterial SSU rRNA
Rfam family: Bacterial small subunit ribosomal RNA
Source: RNAcentral
CUCAGGACGAACGCUGGCGGCGUGCCUAAUACAUGCAAGUCGUACGCUUCUUUUUCCACCGGAGCUUGCUCCACCGGAAAAAGAGGAGUGGCGAACGGGUGAGUAACACGUGGGUAACCUGCCCAUCAGAAGGGGAUAACACUUGGAAACAGGUGCUAAUACCGUAUAACAAUCAAAACCGCAUGGUUUUGAUUUGAAAGGCGCUUUCGGGUGUCGCUGAUGGAUGGACCCGCGGUGCAUUAGCUAGUUGGUGAGGUAACGGCUCACCAAGGCCACGAUGCAUAGCCGACCUGAGAGGGUGAUCGGCCACAUUGGGACUGAGACACGGCCCAAACUCCUACGGGAGGCAGCAGUAGGGAAUCUUCGGCAAUGGACGAAAGUCUGACCGAGCAACGCCGCGUGAGUGAAGAAGGUUUUCGGAUCGUAAAACUCUGUUGUUAGAGAAGAACAAGGAUGAGAGUAACUGUUCAUCCCUUGACGGUAUCUAACCAGAAAGCCACGGCUAACUACGUGCCAGCAGCCGCGGUAAUACGUAGGUGGCAAGCGUUGUCCGGAUUUAUUGGGCGUAAAGCGAGCGCAGGCGGUUUCUUAAGUCUGAUGUGAAAGCCCCCGGCUCAACCGGGGAGGGUCAUUGGAAACUGGGAGACUUGAGUGCAGAAGAGGAGAGUGGAAUUCCAUGUGUAGCGGUGAAAUGCGUAGAUAUAUGGAGGAACACCAGUGGCGAAGGCGGCUCUCUGGUCUGUAACUGACGCUGAGGCUCGAAAGCGUGGGGAGCAAACAGGAUUA